AGGGUUUGAUUAUGGCUCAGGACGAACGUUGGCGGCAUGCCUAACACAUGCAAGUCGAGCGAGUAGAUUCCCUUCGGGGAUGAAACUAGCGGCGGACGGGUGAGUAACACGUGGGCAACCUGCCUCAUAGAGGGGAAUAGCCUUCCGAAAGGGAGAUUAAUACCGCAUAAGAUUGUAGCUUCGCAUGAAGUAGCAAUUAAAGGAGCAAUCCGCUAUGAGAUGGGCCCGCGGCGCAUUAGCUAGUUGGUGAGGUAACGGCUCACCAAGGCGACGAUGCGUAGCUCGACCUGGAGAGAGGGUGAUCGGCCACAUUGAGACUGAGACACGGCCCAGACUCCUACGGGAGGCAGCAGUAGGGAAUAUUCGCACAAUCGCGCAAACCCUGAUGGCAGCAAUGCCGCGGGAGGGGAUGACGACCUUCAGCUAGGAAAGCUCAGUCUUCGGGGACGAUAAUGAACGGUACCCGAGGAGAAAGCCACGGCUAACUACGUGCAAGCAGCCGCGCUAAUACGUCAGGUGGCAAGCGUUGUCCUGGAUUUACUAGGGCGUAAUAGGGAGCGUAGGUAGACUUGUAAGUGAUGAUGUGAAAUACCCGAGCUCAAACUUGCAUGCUGCAUUUCAAACUGGAAGUCUAGAGUGCAGGAGAGGAAAAGCGGAAUUCCUAGUGUAGCGGUGAAGGCGUAGAGAUUAGGAAGAACACCAGUCGCGAAAGGCGGCUUUCUGGACUGUAACUGACACCUGAAGCUCGAAAGCGUGGGGAGCAAACAGGAUUAGAUACCCUGGUAGUCCACGCCGUAAACGAUGAAUACUAGGUGUAGGGGUUGUCAUGACCUCUGUGCCGCCGCUUACCGCAUUAAGUAUUCCGCCUGGGGAGUACGGGCCGCAAGAUUAAAACUCAAAGGAAUUGACGGGGGGCCCGCACAAGCAGCGGAGCAUGUGGGUUAAUUCUGAAGCAACGCGAAGAACCCUACCUAGACUUGACAUCUCCUGAAUUACUCCUUAAUCCAAGAAGUCCGCUCCGGCGACAGGAAGACAGGGGGGUGCAUGGGUGGUCGUCAGCUCCUGUCGUGAGAUGUUGGGUUAAGUCCCGCAACGAGCGCAACCCUUAUUGUUAGUUGCUACCAUUUAGUUGAGCAUUCUAGCGAGACUGCCCGGGUUAACCUGGAGGAAGGUGGGGAUGACGUCAAAUCAUCACGCCCCUUAUGUUUUGGGCUACACACGUGCUCCAAUGGCUGGUACAGAGGGAGGGUUAGGAGUAAUCUGGAGCGAAUCCCAAAAAGCCAGUCCCAGUUCGGAUUGGGGGCUGAAACUCGCCCCCAUGAAGUUGGAGUUGCUAGUAAUCGUGAAUCGGAAUGUCACGGAGAAUGCGUUCCCGGGUAUUGUCCACACCGCCCGUCACACCAUGGGAGUUGGGGGCACCCGAAGUCAGCGGACUAACUGAAAGGAAGUAGCUGCCGAAGGUGAAAUCAAUGACUGGGGUGAAGUCGUAACAAGGUAACC
This 1500-nucleotide ribosomal RNA is filed under the name uncultured Clostridium sp. RNAcentral describes it as "bacterial SSU rRNA". It matches the Rfam family "Bacterial small subunit ribosomal RNA". The record is from RNAcentral. Lineage: Bacteria; Bacillati; Bacillota; Clostridia; Eubacteriales; Clostridiaceae.